UAAUUUUUGUAAUUUUGAAAAUAAAUAUGAGCCCAUAGACCCAAAACACCCUAACCCUCACAUCAUUUUCUCUCCCUCUCUCUAUCAGCCGCCUUACCCCUAGUCCAUCUCUCUCUAUCUCCGUCUCGCAGCCAUCUCUCUCCCAUGGUCUCUUUCGAUGACGCAGAAAAUGACGGCUUAAGUCCUCCACACCCUUCUUACCCUCUCCAUCUCUCAGCCCAGCUCUGUCUAUCUAUCUCUAUCUCUAUCUCUCUCUCUCUCUCUCUCUCUCUCUCUCUCUCUCUCUUUGUAUCAGGCAUUGCCGACGGUGUGGUGGGCUCGACAACAAAGGCAAAGGCAGAGGCAGGGGUCUCGGCUCCCUCACUCCUUUGUCCUCCCAUUUCUCUCUCUCGUUAUUUUUUUUUUUGCAGAUGGUGCUCAUGGUUGUGGUGAUUGUUCUAGGUGGCCAUGGUUCGGGGUGGUGGUGGCAGCGGGCUAUGGCUUAGGAUGAAAUUCAUGGCAGCCAAUCCUUACUUUGGAAAGACAGUGACGAGGGUGAGUACAAUGACAAGAAGAAGAAAGAUAUGUUGUUUGACAACGAAUUUAGUGUUUUAUUUUAUUUGUAAUUUUUAUUAGAGUAAAUGAUUAUUGGUUGAGUGGUUAAUUAUUUAAUUUGUAAAUCAGGUAAUAUAUAUUUUAAGGUCAAGACGAUUAUGUUUAUAAACAAGGCUAUAUAAUUUUUGAGUCAAGUAGUAGUGUUAUAUUUGUUCUAAAAUUUGUUUGAUUAGAUUUGUAAAUACUUUGUAUAA
Humulus lupulus (European hop) is the source of this 788-nucleotide long non-coding RNA. RefSeq lists it as uncharacterized. The transcript has 2 exons. The record is from RefSeq and is a predicted model, not a curated record. Lineage: Eukaryota; Viridiplantae; Streptophyta; Magnoliopsida; Rosales; Cannabaceae.